RNAcentral lists this ribosomal RNA (278 nucleotides) under uncultured Bacillariophyceae. RNAcentral describes it as "partial 18S ribosomal RNA". It matches the Rfam family "Eukaryotic small subunit ribosomal RNA", at positions 598 to 888 of the family's 1831-position model. Lineage: Eukaryota; Bacillariophyta; Bacillariophyceae. The record is from RNAcentral.
CGUAUAUUAAAGUUGUUGCAGUUAAAAAGCUCGUAGUUGAAUUUAUGGAGGUACUUUAAGUCCACUUGUGGUACCAAAAAAUACCUUCAUCUUUAGGCGGAACCUCUGUGUCAUUAGCUUGUCGCGGAGGGUAUGUCUAUCAUUUACUGUGAAAAAAUCAGCGCGUUCAAAGCAGGCUUAUGCCGUUGAAUGUAUUAGCAUGGAAUAAUAAGAUAGGACCUUGGCACUAUUUUGUUGGUUUGCGUACCGAGGUAAUGAUUAAUAGGGACAGUUGGGGG